Long non-coding RNA from Equus caballus (horse), 3821 nucleotides. The record is from Ensembl. NCBI's taxonomy places the organism in Eukaryota, Metazoa, Chordata, Mammalia, Perissodactyla, Equidae.
GGGGGAUUGGCAGCAGAUGUUGGCUCAGGGCUAAUCUUCCUCAGAAAUAAAUAAAUAAAUAAAUAAAUAAAUAACAGUACCUACUUCACAGACCUGUCAUGAGACUUUAGCAACUAAGACAUGUAGAAACACCCAGAACAGCGGUUGGCGUGCGGAAAAGACCCCAAACGUCAGCUGGCUAUGAGGACUGGCCUCCUGUCCCUAUGACAGAGGAGGACCAGGCAUGGGGUCCUGAUGGCCUCGGGCACUCAGUGCAGGCAGGUGAAGGCCUUGGGACUGGAGUGGUGCCACUGCCCAUUGAUGACACGGCCACCCUUUGACUGGUCACUUCCUGAAGGACAGAUGGUGAGCGGGCUCUGGGGUCAGCCCCCGUGGACGCAGGUGGCACAACUCGAACCAGGUGCCCUGUUGUUGGAUCUACUCACCCAUGUGCCUGGAGAUAAGAGAGGUGGGCAGUUACCGAGUUCCUGUGGCCGAAAGUGGAUGAUGGACACAGCCAGGGAGGGCCGACUGGCUGAGGAGCAGAGCUGGGGCCCAGAUCCCUAGAAGCUCACCUCAGUGGCCACCCCUGAACCCUCAUCUGGGAGCAGGAAUGGGUGCGGCUGUGCUCCUCACUACAGAUUGUUCUCCUUUCCCUGGACUGAGAAGCCAAGCAGUGGAUUUGGGGUGUGACCAGCGAUGGUAGUGAGUUUGGGGGUCUCUGGGCUCCCACAAGCAGCCAGGGCUUGGAGCCUCUGCUCCUCUAACAGGAGUGUCACCGAGUGGACACAGUGUAAGUGGGACUCAGAGGUAUUUGAGGCCGGUCAGAGGUGCUGGGAACUUGUGAUUUCUGGAUCUGCGUGUGGAUUAGACAGGAGCUGGCAGCUUAGAAAGUUCCACACAGAUGACAUCAGCAUUCUCUCGAUGGACAUAGACUUGAGCAAAACGUGCACUUGAGAAAAGAGAAUGUAGAGUGGCUGCAGUCCCUCACUCCAGGCCCCAUGUGGGGGGCUCCCAGGACCCCAGAGGAAGCAGGGCUUCUUGGUAGCCCACCCGGGACCACAGCCCACCUGGGUAAUGGGAGGUCCAGGUGGACGCCAGCUUGGGGUGGAGGAGCCGGGGAGGCGGACAUCAGGGAUGUGGUCCUCCAGGCUCUGGCCUGCGGGUAUUAGGGUGGGAGCCAGGUCUGCACAGAUGGUGAUUGUCAGGCCUGGAAAGAGUGCGGCCUGGUCUCCUCCACGCUCUGAUCACACAGGAGUCUCCCAGACAUCAGCCUUGCUGAAGUCUUUUCUAGUCACUAUCAUCUAAACCUUCAAUGUUCCUUGUUUACCGUGAGGCAAGAGGACCCGUCAGAGGGACGUCCCCAGGAACGAGGUCUGCUCCUUGCGGGCUCCCUUAGAGGGUCCUGGCUACCUCGGGCAUAUGCUGUGGACACGGCCACAUUUCUACCCUGUGUCCACGUCCUUGUGGCCAGCAGCAGUUGGAGGAAGGUCAGCAUCUGUCCACAGGCAUCGUCACAUGAUUUUGACCUUGGGGCCUCCAGGACCCUCAGCCUCUGGGCUCAGGGUCGGGACAUCGCUGGGGACUCACAGGGACUCUCAUUCCCACCUCCUCCAGCCUGUGGCGGGGCUCUGCCUGGUGACCUCACUUGUCCACCUGGAGGGAGCGGGGGGAGGGGGUGUCCGAGUGAGUCCCCACUCCUGGCCGGGGUUUGGGGUGAGGCUGUCCACCUGUUGGCCGCCCCACCUGACCCUCCCACAGGACAUUGUGCCCACGGCCCACCCCCUCCAGACCCCUCCCUGCUGCUGACAGCCUCUGGCCUCUGCGGAGACCCUCUGCUGCCAUGGUUCUGGACACCUCUCAACAGUGUGUUAACAAUCAGAUGAUGAAGACAGUGACCGACAGCUGCUAAUGCUGUCUGUGCGUCAGCGCACAUGUGUGUGUGUGUGCGCACAUGUGUGUGAUAAUCUCUUCAUUUACUGAUGGGUAAACUGAGGCCCUGCUAGCUGCCGUGGGGGGCUCAGCCUCACACAGGGGACCCGGAGCCUCCAACACCCACAGCUGGAGGUGCCCACGACACCUCUCUUUUUCCAUUUUCAUUGUGCUCAUUUGUUCAUUCAUUCGUUCAUUUUAAGCAGCUUUAUUGCAUUAUAAUUCACGUUCCACACAUUUGCCACUGAGAGGGUGCACUCCGAUGUCUUUGGCGUUUUCGUGGAUAAAGCCAUCACCACGGGCAACCUCGGGACACUUUCAUCACCACAGAGGGAACCUGUACCCUUUACCUGACUGCCCCCCACAAUGGGCAGGUUCGACCGUGACAGUUGGCGAUGUCCAGUGCCAGUGACUUCCUGCUUCACUGCGGCUCUGGGAGCGCCAUCCGGUCCUGCUCACUCCUACUACAGACUGGCCCCAGGCAGGAGUGUGGGGCAGGGGCCUCCUUAAGUGGCCCAGACCUGCCUGGAGCUACUGAAAACGUGGACACAGAGUAGCAGAAACAGAGAGGCCCCUCCUUGACUCCUCGAACAUCGCCUCCGUUCCCCAAGGCCACAGACACUGUGCCCUCAAAUCUCCCCCAGUGGCAGGGACGCUGACCCAGCACGGGCCCCACGGGGACACCCAGGUUAGAAGAGUUAACAUGGCACAGUGUCGUGGGUGUGGCUGUGGUUCUGUGCAGGGCCAAUUCCGGGGGUCUUCACCUGGUGGGUGUCCCCAAGCACACUCACCACCCGCUGCGUCCGCCCCUGAGUGAGGAUGUGGGGCCCCCACUCUCCCCUUCCCAGACAGACCCUCAGCAGAUGACAGACCCUGGGCUCUGGAGCUUCGAUUCAAGCUCUGGAAAUGUCCUCCAGGCCCAGAGUGCGGAGACAGGCAGAGCUGGCCCCAGAGCAGGGUGGGGGUCCCACAGCAGAGGUCUCGGGGGCGUCCCUCAUCCAUCCUGGGGGCUCAGGGAGGUGAGCACCAGGCUGCCUGGCUCCACUACCUACUGGCCCACAGUGGUGCCAGUGUGUGCCCCACCUUCCUGGCUGACGGUCUCUCGGGAGGCCUUGGGUUCACUGGGAAGACAACUGAUCUGGGAAUGAGACAUCGGGGUGGACCUCAAACUCUUGCUCGCCAGCCCUGUGGCCCUGAGCAAGUCCCUUGACCUUCAGGUGAAGCCUCACAUGAUGCCCCAGGUGAGCCCCAGGUGAGCCCCAGGUAAAGCCCCACAUGAUGCCCCAGGUGAGCCCCAGGUGAGCCCCAGGUGAAGCACCACAUGAAGCCCCAUGUGAGCCCCAGGUGAGCCCCAGGUGAGCCCCAGGUGAGUCCCAGGUGAAGCCCCAGGUGAGCCCCAGGUGAGCCCCAGGUGAAGCCCCAGGUGAGCCCCAGGUGAGACCGGCACAAGGUCCUCCCCUGCAGCUCUCUGUCCUCUGCACACUCCAGGCUCCACCCGAGGGACGUGGCGGAGGGUCCCUGACAGCCAGUCCUGGCCAGAGAGGAUGUCUGCCCUCGAUUCUCAGCAUUUUCACGGAAACAAGCAGAUCCAGCACGAGGCUGAAUCCCCCUCCCUGGGGACUUGGAGACCACAAGGGCAGCGGCUCCUCAUGCAACACGUCCCCUGGCAAAGGGCACCUCGCUGCCACCAUCACCCAGGGGACGGGCCUGGGCCCACGACAGUCCAGCAGAUCUGGACGCUCUGUGCUGCUGACGGGGAGAGCGUGGGGCUGCAUCAGGCCGUGAAAGUGUCAGAGGUCGGGGGCGAGGUUCCUCGUGGAUCCGCCUGGAAGCAGCUGCCGAGCAGGCUCUUCACGUUGGCAGUUGUCGCUGAGCAGCCUGUGCUGGAAACUCCUGUCUCACCGUCUUGC